This is a long non-coding RNA of Teleopsis dalmanni, 1201 nucleotides long. RefSeq lists it as uncharacterized. The transcript is spliced from 2 exons. The record is from RefSeq and is a predicted model, not a curated record. NCBI's taxonomy places the organism in Eukaryota, Metazoa, Arthropoda, Insecta, Diptera, Diopsidae.
UGUGCAUUACAAAAUAAAGCUUCAUAUAGAACUGAAAACUCUGAUUAUUUGGUAUAGAAAAUUACUUCGGUAGCAUACUUUUUGUGCGAAUUCGAUUACGUUUAUUCUGUUCCGUUCAUUCCAAUUUUGUUAUAGAGUGUGGUAGGUCGACUAAAGAAGUUCGGAGGCUAGAAAUUUGUGAAGUUAACAAAAAUUAUAUGUGAAGAAUUCAAAACAAGUUGAAUAAAUCUUUAACAACUAAUAUAUAUGAAUCAGUAAAGUAGUGAUGGCAAAAAGUACAAAAUAAUAAUUACAUAAGCGAAUAAUAAAGAAAAGCACAAAACAAACUGGAAAAAAUGAAAAGAUAAUUUUAAUUUGAAACAAAAUUAAAAGUUGGAAAAAAAACGAAGUCAUAAAAUAAAAUAAAACGGAUCAGCUGUCUAUCUCGCUUAGUGUUAUUUCAUCAUCUUUUUGAGUAGACACACAUGAGAAGUACGGUGUGUACCAUUGAAAAGCAACGGAAAAAUUAGAAAUUUGAAAAAGAAAAAUAUAUAUAAGAAUAGCAACAAUUUAUACCAGAGGAAGAUGUACAGCGCGUCUACGAGUGGAAUAAACAUUAAAAAUUCUAACGAAUUUUUAGAACACAAAAACAAAGAAUCUAGUUGCAAUUCCGAAAAUUUAGCCAAAGAAAUUUGUACUAAAAUUAAGGGAUUUCUUUGAUUACAAUUUUAAAUAGCAUCACCACCAUAUAUAAUAUAUUUUUGCUUCUAAGACCAAAGAAUUUAAUUUAGUAGCAGUUAUAGUUUUUGGUAUGUCAAUCAACAAACAAAAAUAUCAACAAAAAUUACGCGCACAAAUGUACGAAGUAAAUUUUUGAUCAUAAAAUUGUUAAUAACAAUAAUACAAAAUAAAUUACCAGGAUAAUUAGCAAAAACAUUAUCCGGAAAUAAGGAAAUACACACUAUAAAGUGAUAUCUCGUCUACUCAAAAAUAAAAUUCACACACAGCACUUAUUAAGCUUAAAAGAGCUAAGGAGCAAGCAUUUCCGCUAUUUAUUUUUAUACGUAUUUUGAAAAUUAUUUUAUAUAAGAAGUUACAAAUUAAAAAAUUCAAAAAUGCCUUCAAUCAAUUCAAAAACAAUAACACCGAAAGGUCUAGGCAAAUAUAAUGUCUUCUCACAUGUCAAAUAUGAGCAUUUAGUAGCAGGCAUAUCUGGAGGUGU